Irpex rosettiformis is the source of this 103-nucleotide non-coding RNA. The record is from the annotation of a GenBank genome assembly. NCBI's taxonomy places the organism in Eukaryota, Fungi, Basidiomycota, Agaricomycetes, Polyporales, Irpicaceae.
GGACCCUUAGCUCAGUGGUAGAGCUUUGUACUUAUGUGGCUAAAUGUCUUUGGCUUGAGCAUUUCCAAUGCAAAGGUCCCGAGUUCGACCCUCGGAGGGUCCA